CUGGCGGCNGGCCUACACAUGCAAGUCGAGCGGAUGAGAAGAGCUUGCUCUUCGAUUCAGCGGCGGACGGGUGAGUAAUACCUAGGAAUCUGCCUGGUAGUGGGGGACAACGUUUCGAAAGGAACGCUAAUACCGCAUACGUCCUACGGGAGAAAGCAGGGGACCUUCGGGCCUUGCGCUAUCAGAUGAGCCUAGGUCGGAUUAGCUAGUUGGUGAGGUAAUGGCUCACCAAGGCUACGAUCCGUAACUGGUCUGAGAGGAUGAUCAGUCACACUGGAACUGAGACACGGUCCAGACUCCUACGGGAGGCAGCAGUGGGGAAUAUUGGACAAUGGGCGAAAGCCUGAUCCAGNCCAUGCCGCGUGUGUGAAGAAGGUCUUCGGAUUGUAAAGCACUUUAAGUUGGGAGGAAGGGCAGUAAGCGAAUACCUUGCUGUUUUGACGUUACCGACAGAAUAAGCACCGGCUAACUCUGUGCCAGCAGCCGCGGUAAUACAGAGGGUGCAAGCGUUAAUCGGAAUUACUGGGCGUAAAGCGCGCGUAGGUGGUUCGUUAAGUUGGAUGUGAAAUCCCCGGGCUCAACCUGGGAACUGCAUCCAAAACUGGCGAGCUAGAGUAGGGCAGAGGGUGGUGGAAUUUCCUGUGUAGCGGUGAAAUGCGUAGAUAUAGGAAGGAACACCAGUGGCGAAGGCGACCNCCUGGGCUCAUACUGACACUGAGGUGCGAAAGCGUGGGGAGCAAACAGGAUNNAUACCCUGGUAGNCCCGCCGUAA
Molecule: ribosomal RNA, 772 nt
Filed under: Pseudomonas putida
Lineage: Bacteria; Pseudomonadati; Pseudomonadota; Gammaproteobacteria; Pseudomonadales; Pseudomonadaceae
Description: bacterial SSU rRNA
Rfam family: Bacterial small subunit ribosomal RNA
Source: RNAcentral